UCUGAUAUGGCAGAUUAGUGCAAUGGUUUUAAGCACCAUAUAUAAAGUAUUUUACUUUUAUCAGAA
RNAcentral lists this transfer RNA (66 nucleotides) under Exhyalanthrax sp. Its description in RNAcentral is "tRNA-Leu". The record is from RNAcentral. Lineage: Eukaryota; Metazoa; Arthropoda; Insecta; Diptera; Bombyliidae.